CGUAAAGAGCUCGUAGGCGGUUUGUCGCGUCUGCUGUGAAAAUCUGAGGCUCAACCUCGGACUUGCAGUGGGUACGGGCAGACUAGAGUGCGGUAGGGGAGAAGGGAAUUCCUGGUGUAGCGGUGGAAUGCGCAGAUAUCAGGAGGAACACCAAUGGCGAAGGCACUUCUCUGGGCCGCUACUGACGCUGAGGAGCGAAAGCGUGGGGAGCGAACAGGAUUAGAUACCCUGGUAGUCCACGCCGUAAACGUUGGGCGCUAGAUGUGGGUCACAUUCCACGUGAUCCGUGUCGCAGCUAACGCAUUAAGCGCCCCGCCUGGGGAGUACGGCCGCAAGGCUAAAACUCAAAGGAAUUGACGGGGGCCCGCACAAGCGGCGGAGCAUGCGGAUUAAUUCGAUGCAACGCGAAGAACCUUACCAAGACUUGACAUAUAGAGGAAAACUGCAGAAAUGUAGUCCCCGCAAGGUCUCUAUACAGGUGGUGCAUGGUUGUCGUCAGCUCGUGUCGUGAGAUGUUGGGUUAAGUCCCGCAACGAGCGCAACCCUCGUCCUAUGUUGCCAGCACGUUAUGGUGGGAACUCAUGGGAGACUGCCGGGGUCAACUCGGAGGAAGGUGGGGAUGACGUCAAAUCAUCAUGCCCCUUAUGUCUUGGGCUUCACGCAUGCUACAAUGGCCGGUACAAAGGGCUGCAAUACCGCAAGGUGGAGCGAAUCCCAAAAAGCCGGUCUCAGCUCGGAUUGAGGUCUGCAACUCGACCUCAUGAAGUCGGAGUCG
This 775-nucleotide ribosomal RNA is filed under the name uncultured bacterium. RNAcentral's name for it is "bacterial SSU rRNA". It matches the Rfam family "Bacterial small subunit ribosomal RNA", at positions 559 to 1334 of the family's 1533-position model. The record is from RNAcentral.